Molecule: ribosomal RNA, 369 nt
Filed under: Albinaria teres
Lineage: Eukaryota; Metazoa; Mollusca; Gastropoda; Stylommatophora; Clausiliidae
Description: partial large subunit ribosomal RNA
Source: RNAcentral
CAUAAUCACUUGACUUUUAAAUGGAGCCUGGAAUGAAAGAAAGAACGUAAACAACUUGUCUCAUUAAUAGUAUCUUAAAAUUGCUGUAGGAGUGAAAAUACUCUUAAUUUUAAAAAUAGACGAGAAGACCCUUAGAAUUUUUAAAAUAUAUAAGCAGGUCUUAUAAAUAUUUUUGUUGGGGCAACAAUAUUUCACUUAAUAAAUAUUUAUUUAAAGAAUAUGUCGAUUUAAUAAUUAUAGUAAAAUUACCUAAGGGAUAACAGCAUAAUAUUAAUAAUAAGCUUGUGACCUCGAUGUUGGACUAGGUACUAUUAAGGCUAAUCGUUUUAAUAUAAUAUGUUCUGUUCGAACUUUACUACCUACAUGAUC